AGGGAUCAUUACUGAGUGAGGGCCUUCGGGCUCGACCUCCAACCCUUUGUGAACACAACUUGUUGCUUCGGGGGCGACCCUGCCGUUUCGACGGCGAGCGCCCCCGGAGACCAUCAAACACUGCAUCUUUGCGUCGGAGUUUAAGUAAAUUAAACAAAACUUUCAACAACGGAUCUCUUGGUUCUGGCAUCGAUGAAGAACGCAGCGAAAUGCGAUAAGUAAUGUGAAUUGCAGAAUUCAGUGAAUCAUCGAAUCUUUGAACGCACAUUGCGCCCUUUGGUAUUCCGAAGGGCAUGCCUGUUCGAGCGUCAUUUCACCACUCAAGCCUGGCUUGGUAUUGGGCGCCGCGGUCAAUCCGCGCGCCUCAAAGUCUCCGGCUGAGCUGUCCGUCUCUAAGCGUUGUGAUUUCAUUAAUCGCUUCGGAGUGCGGGCGGCCGCGGCCGUUAAAUCUUUCACAAGGUUGACCUCGGAUCAGGUAGGGAUACCCGCUGAACUUAA
This 498-nucleotide ribosomal RNA is filed under the name Septoria agrimoniicola. Its description in RNAcentral is "eukaryotic LSU rRNA". The stretch from base 158 to 311 matches the Rfam family "5.8S ribosomal RNA". RNAcentral also lists the same sequence under 6 other names. The record is from RNAcentral. Lineage: Eukaryota; Fungi; Ascomycota; Dothideomycetes; Mycosphaerellales; Mycosphaerellaceae.